GAUGAACGCUGGCGGCGUGCCUAAUACAUGCAAGUCGAGCGAACGGACGAGAAGCUUGCUUCUCUGAUGUUAGCGGCGGACGGGUGAGUAACACGUGGAUAACCUACCUAUAAGACUGGGAUAACUUCGGGAAACCGGAGCUAAUACCGGAUAAUAUUUUGAACCGCAUGGUUCAAAAGUGAAAGACGGUCUUGCUGUCACUUAUAGAUGGAUCCGCGCUGCAUUAGCUAGUUGGUAAGGUAACGGCUUACCAAGGCAACGAUGCAUAGCCGACCUGAGAGGGUGAUCGGCCACACUGGAACUGAGACACGGUCCAGACUCCUACGGGAGGCAGCAGUAGGGAAUCUUCCGCAAUGGGCGAAAGCCUGACGGAGCAACGCCGCGUGAGUGAUGAAGGUCUUCGGAUCGUAAAACUCUGUUAUUAGGGAAGAACAUAUGUGUAAGUAACUGUGCACAUCUUGACGGUACCUAAUCAGAAAGCCACGGCUAACUACGUGCCAGCAGCCGCGGUAAUACGUAGGUGGCAAGCGUUAUCCGGAAUUAUUGGGCGUAAAGCGCGCGUAGGCGGUUUUUUAAGUCUGAUGUGAAAGCCCACGGCUCAACCGUGGAGGGUCAUUGGAAACUGGAAAACUUGAGUGCAGAAGAGGAAAGUGGAAUUCCAUGUGUAGCGGUGAAAUGCGCAGAGAUAUGGAGGAACACCAGUGGCGAAGGCGACUUUCUGGUCUGUAACUGACGCUGAUGUGCGAAAGCGUGGGGAUCAAACAGGAUUAGAUACCCUGGUAGUCCACGCCGUAAUCGAUGAGUGCUAAGUGUUAGGGGGUUUCCGCCCCUUAGUGCUGCAGCUAACGCAUUAAGCACUCCGCCUGGGGAGUACGACCGCAAGGUUGAAACUCAAAGGAAUUGACGGGGACCCGCACAAGCGGUGGAGCAUGUGGUUUAAUUCGAAGCAACGCGAAGAACCUUACCAAAUCUUGACAUCCUUUGACAACUCUAGAGAUAGAGCCUUCCCCUUCGGGGGACAAAGUGACAGGUGGUGCAUGGUUGUCGUCAGCUCGUGUCGUGAGAUGUUGGGUUAAGUCCCGCAACGAGCGCAACCCUUAAGCUUAGUUGCCAUCAUUAAGUUGGGCACUCUAAGUUGACUGCCGGUGACAAACCGGAGGAAGGUGGGGAUGACGUCAAAUCAUCAUGCCCCUUAUGAUUUGGGCUACACACGUGCUACAAUGGACAAUACAAAGGGCAGCGAAACCGCGAGGUCAAGCAAAUCCCAUAAAGUUGUUCUCAGUUCGGAUUGUAGUCUGCAACUCGACUACAUGAAGCUGGAAUCGCUAGUAAUCGUAGAUCAGCAUGCUACGGUGAGUACGUUCCCGGGUCU
Molecule: ribosomal RNA, 1372 nt
Filed under: uncultured bacterium
Lineage: Bacteria
Description: bacterial SSU rRNA
Rfam family: Bacterial small subunit ribosomal RNA
Source: RNAcentral